CCUACGGUGUGCAGCAGUGGGGAAUAUUUCACAAUGGGGGGAACCCUGAUGCAGCAACGCCGCGUGGGUGAAGAAGUACUCCGGUAUGUAAAGCACUGUCAGCAGGGAAGAAAAUGACGGUACUUGACCAAGAAGCCCCGGCUAAAUACGUGCCAGCAGCCGCAGGAAUACGUAGGGGGCAAGCGUUAUCCGGAUUUCCUGGGUGUAAAGGGAGAGUAGACGGCAAGGCGAGUCUGGAGUGAAAGCCCGUGGCCCAACCACGGGACUGCUUUUGAUACUGUGUUGCUGGAGUGUCGGAGGGGUAAGCGGAAUUCCUAGUGUAGCGGUGAAAUGCGUAGAUAUUAGGAGGAACACCGGUGGCGAAGGCGGCUUACUGGACUGUAACUGACGUUGAGGCUCGAAGGCGUGGGGAGCAAACAGGAUUAGAUACCCGGGUAGUC
Molecule: ribosomal RNA, 440 nt
Filed under: uncultured bacterium
Lineage: Bacteria
Description: partial 16S ribosomal RNA
Rfam family: Bacterial small subunit ribosomal RNA
Source: RNAcentral